CAUGAUCGAAGACGAUUGCGCCGAGAGCGGCAUCCCUCUCCCCAACGUCACCGCCAAGAUCCUUGCCAAGGUCAUCGAGUACUGCCGCAAGCACGUCGAGUCCGCCGCCAAGCCCUCCACCACCGACGACAAGGCGAUCGAGGACGAGCUCAAGGCCUGGGACGCUGAUUUUGUCAAGGUUGACCAGCCGACGCUCUUCGAUCUCAUCCUGGCAGCAAACUAUCUCAACAUCAAAGGUUUGCUGGACCUGACCUGUCAGACUGUGGCUGACAUGAUCAAGGGUAAAACUCCAGAGGAGAUACGGAAGACGUUCAACAUAAAGAAUGACUUCACUCCAGAGGAAGAGGAAGAAGUGAGGAGGGAGAACCAGUGGGCCUUCGAGUGAAGAGGCCAUAUCUUUUUAAGGACAUAAAGUGUGGUUUGUUUAUUUAGCAGGCAUGGAACUGCAGAGG
This 452-nucleotide unclassified non-coding RNA is filed under the name Hevea brasiliensis (rubber tree). The record is from RNAcentral. Lineage: Eukaryota; Viridiplantae; Streptophyta; Magnoliopsida; Malpighiales; Euphorbiaceae.